AUGCAUACGAAAAUUUAAGGCAACACGAGUUGCAGACCAACAGCAGAUAUGCUUCUUCUAAGGUUACAAAGGAUUUCGGAAAGAUUGUUCCAGUUCAAUCUAUUCAGUGCAUUAUGUGAUACCGUCUGUUGCAAAUGAGGAUUUGAAAUCUUUUUUCGAAGAGGAAACAGGUCAAUCGGAGAACUAUAUUUAUAAAGUGAUGGUGAAGGAGGCAAUGAUAACAAUAAUGCAGGAGGCCAUAGGUGACGAAUAUGAAAAUGUGGACGUGGAGCUGCGGAAAACAGAGGGGAAAACUACAAAUAAAUCCAAUUCACUUCUGUUGAAUUAUAUCAUGAACGACAGAGAAAAGUACAUCCAAUUACACAAGAGGAAUUAAUGCAUGAUCUGCUCCAUUACAAGUUAUUUGUGACACUAUAUUGAUCUGAAUUCAUACGACUAGAGGUCGUUAAAGUCAAGUACCCAGGACUUUUAUUUCCCUGCUGUAACAAUUGCUCUACAUUGUCUAAUAUGUUGAAAGAUUUAUUUCACGUGACCAUGCAGUUGAAAGAUGUUACACCAUAUGUUCUUCAUGAUUGUGCGUGAUCAUGCAAGUGUGUUGAUUGGAAAUAAGUUAUUGCAGAAUUAUAUUCCCUCAUUUCAAGUGCACCAUUUAACUACUGCAUGGACUGUCGUGACAAUUUGCAUGGGUGUUCCUUGGAUUAAAUUCAUAUUCAAAUAAAUGUUUAGAAUUGGAUAUGAUUGUAACUUUUCUGCACGGCUGAUAUUAAUAUAAAGUUUUUUAUAUGUAUUGCAGUCAUUUCUGAUUAACUCUUAUUGUACCCCCCGACAGCAAAGUUGUAAGGGGGGGUAUACUGGUUUCAGGUUGUCUGUCUGUCUGUCUGUCCGUCUGUCUGUCCGUCUGUCCGUAGACGCAAUCUUGUGCGCACCAUCUCUCCUUAUCCCCUUGACAGAAUUUAAUGACACUUCACACAAGUGAUCAGUACCAACAGUAGUUGUGCAUGGGGCAUGUUAGGUUCUUUUAGAAAAAAAAUUUGCAGAGUUAUGGGACUUUGUUUUUUGUUACUAUACUAUAUACAUAGACACAAUCUUGUGCGCACCAUCUCUCCUCAUCCCCUUGACACAAUUUAAUGAAACUUCACACAAGUGAUCAGUACCAACAGUAGUUGUGCAUGGGGCAUGUUAGGUUCUUUUAGAAAAAAAAUUUGCAGAGUUAUGGGACUUUGUUUUUUUUGUUACUAUACUAUAUACAUAGACACAAUCUUGUGCGCACCAUCUCUCCUCAUCCCCUUGACACAGUUUAACGAAACUUCACACAAGUGAUCAGUACCAACGUAGUUGUGCAUGGGGCAUGUUAGCUUCUUUUAGAAAAAAAAUUUGCAGAGUUAUGGGACUUUUUUUUUUUGUUACUAUACUAUAUAUAUAGACACAAUGUUGUGCGCACCAUCUUUCCUCAUCUCCUUGACACAAUUUAAUGAAACUUCACACAAGUGAUCAGUAACAACAGUAGUUGUGCACGGGGCAUGUUAGGUUCUUUCAGUGACAAAAAUUGCAGAGUUAUGGGACUUUGUAUCUUGUUAACAUACUAUGUACAUACAGUCUGCAUAUGCAAUCUUGUGCAUGCCUAAUCUACCAAACCCUUGCACACAAUUUAAUGAAACUUCACACAAGUGAUCAGUACCUGAACCCUAGUUGUGCAUGGUGCAUGUUACAUUCUUUUAGAUAAAUAUUCUGCAUAGUUAUGGGACUUCGUUUUUUGUUACUAUACUGUAUACAUACAGUCUAUAUAUAUAUACAGUCCACAUAAUUAUGCAAUCUUGUGUGCGUCAAAUUGCAAUGUACUGUGUCAGUGCAUGCGGGGGGUACAUUCAUCACCUUUAGUGAUAGCUCUAGUUAUUUUGGGAAUUCCCAAUUAACAGCAUUUUUGUUGCCAAUAUAAUAUCUGAAAUUUUUAUAUGGUUUGUAUAGUAAGGCAGUCCAGUUUGCAUAUGGGUUAUUUGUAAACAUAUUUUUGCAAAUGCCCUGCAGAAGUAAGAUUUGGAAGCUUACUUUAAACCGAUAUCCUACUCCAUAUAGAAAUAAAAUUAAACUUUUAUACUGUAUUUAAACAUGAUAUGUAAAUGUACAAAACAUGUUUUAGACUUAUCUGUCAAUUGUUAAAAGGUGUAUGUCCCUUUGAAUAUACAUGCAUGUCAGUUCGAUUAUUAAUUGCCUUUACUAUCUGACAAAUAAAUUUGAAAAAACGAA
Mercenaria mercenaria is the source of this 2244-nucleotide long non-coding RNA. RefSeq lists it as uncharacterized. Lineage: Eukaryota; Metazoa; Mollusca; Bivalvia; Venerida; Veneridae. The transcript is spliced from 5 exons. The record is from RefSeq and is a predicted model, not a curated record.